CCUACGGGAGGCAGCAGUGGGGAAUUUUCCGCAAUGGGCGAAAGCCUGACGGAGCAACGCCGCGUGAGGGAUGAAGGCCUCUGGGCUGUAAACCUCUUUUAUCAAGGAAGAAGAUCUGACGGUACUUGAUGAAUAAGCCACGGCUAAUUCCGUGCCAGCAGCCGCGGUAAUACGGGAGUGGCAAGCGUUAUCCGGAAUUAUUGGGCGUAAAGCGUCCGCAGGCGGUCUUGUAAGUCUGUCGUUAAAGCGUGGAGCUUAACUCCAUUUAGGCGGUGGAAAC
RNAcentral lists this ribosomal RNA (280 nucleotides) under uncultured cyanobacterium. RNAcentral describes it as "partial 16S ribosomal RNA". It matches the Rfam family "Bacterial small subunit ribosomal RNA", at positions 338 to 633 of the family's 1533-position model. Lineage: Bacteria; Bacillati; Cyanobacteriota. The record is from RNAcentral.